This 532-nucleotide ribosomal RNA is filed under the name uncultured bacterium. Its description in RNAcentral is "partial 16S ribosomal RNA". It matches the Rfam family "Bacterial small subunit ribosomal RNA", at positions 355 to 902 of the family's 1533-position model. The record is from RNAcentral.
UGGGGAAUAUUGCACAAUGGGCGCAAGCCUGAUGCAGCCAUGCCGCGUGUGUGAAGAAGGCCUUCGGGUUGUAAAGCUCUGUCUUUUGGGACGAUAAUGACGGUACCAAAGGAGGAAGCCACGGCUAACUACGUGCCAGCAGCCGCGGUAAUACGUAGGUGGCAAGCGUUGUCCGGAUUUACUGGGCGUAAAGGAUGCGUAGGCGGAUUUUUAAGUGAGAUGUGAAAACCCUAAGCUUAACUUGGGGACUGCAUUUCAUACUGGAAAUCUAGAGUGCGGGAGAGGAGAAUGGAAUUCCUAGUGUAGCGGUGAAAUGCGUAGAGAUUAGGAAGAACACCAGUGGCGAAGGCGAUUCUCUGGACCGUAACUGACGCUGAGGCAUGAAAGCGUGGGUAGCAAACAGGAUUAGAUACCCUGGUAGUCCACGCCGUAAACGAUGAGUACUAGGUGUAGGAGGUAUCGACCCCUUCUGUGCCGCAGUUAACACAAUAAGUACUCCGCCUGGGAAGUACGAUCGCAAGAUUAAAAACUC